Molecule: long non-coding RNA, 4837 nt
Organism: Lolium perenne
Lineage: Eukaryota; Viridiplantae; Streptophyta; Magnoliopsida; Poales; Poaceae
Source: RefSeq, a predicted model, not a curated record
CCCUCCCCCCCGCGCGCCUCUCCCGCCCCGCCCUGCACUAGAUUUUCAGCAUAAACUGGUGUAUCUGCUGUUUAACUAGUGUAGCUUUACAUUUUGUUUUUCCUUUUCAGAACUAUUGAUCCGUAUAUUAUCUAAAAAAGCUGUUGAAUCGACGAGGAAAGCCUAGGAAGGGAGGGGCUGGAGGAUAAUUUGGGAUAUGGUUACAUUUAGUUUGAUUUGUGUGACUAGCUAGAUGCUUAUCCGAUUAGAUCCAAUCUCCAUGAAUUGAUUAUCAUAGCCAUCUGGUUUAAGGUAUUAUAAUAAUAUGUUGCAUAACCACAUUGAUGUUCCUUUUCCCCCUGCGUAAUAACAGGGUCGUAAGGAAGAUUUUGAUUCUCUGACAGUUGUGCGGUUUGGCGGUGAAGUCGAAACGACUAUCAGUUUUGAUCACCACUGUGGGGACUCAGAUGCUUCCCUAGAUCUCCAUGUCAAUCUGACAUCGAGAGUUACCUGAACACAGAUAACAGAUCGGCGGGAUUCAGAUGAUAUUUAGACAAAAGGCUCAAGCAGAGCUCGGCUUUAAAUUAAUAAAGCCACAACAACAGCGUCACAACAGAGAGAGACAUCGAUAAGCUCAAGUCGGAGAGUCCCUAAUGGUGCCGUGGAGAGUGCGAAUCUGGCUAAUCAUAAUCUCCAGCGCGUUUCUGUCCUACUGCUUUAGCCACUAUCAAUUUAGCAGAGAAGAUGGAUCCAUAUGGAUGUUCUUUUGUUAUUGAGUCUAGUCGCCUAUCUUUUUGCCACCGCUUUGCAAGUUCAUCAACGCAUGUACUGAUGCUUAUUGUUAAAUUUUGGUAUAUGCUACUUUACCUUCUGAAGUUCUGCUAGCAUGUGCGUCCUCAACAACUCUUCCACCUGAUGACUCCACCUGCCUCCAGUCUGCCUCACUUUAGGAAAUUAGCCAGAGUCUAUCUUCAGGUCUUUUAGCAUUAUUUAUUUUUCCCUCCUUUUUAAAAGUUGUGUAAUUAAAAUGGGAGAUGAUCAAUUAAUAUAGACCACCAUGCACUGAAAGACAUACUAAAACUAACCCGAUAAACAAUCACUGAAUGAAAAAGACAAACAGAUAGCUACUAGAGUACACAGGUGUAGUAGUUGGACAUAAACUAGUACCCACUUCUCCUGUAUAUUUGACAAGUCCCUCUCCCUCACCGUCUCAUGUAGAAACUUCAUCUGCUAGUUCUGGUUCUUUCCGUCCUUCUUCGGUUAGCUCUUUUAUACAUCUGUGACAUCCUAUGGCUUAGGCUAUAGAGGAUAAGAAGGAGAUGGAGGAAUCCGGGUGUAAGGGGUCCCAGAACUAAUUUGCUCUAUGGCAACACCCAGGAGAUGUAGAGGAUCCGACAAGACCUUGCGCUUGCGCAGAAGCAGGACACCAGUAAGGCAGUAACUACAUAUACACCCUCUUCCCUCGCUUCUCUGGAGAGGAACAUACGGUAUGUAUUGAUUCAGAAGUUCCAUCCAUGUGUUUUCUCAUGUAUUUGUAUGCUAGUGUGCCAAUCAGAUUCGUGGGUGAUUGUAAUCAUCUAAUGAUCCAAGUUUUAGGGAGUUUUCUGAUACCAUAGACCUUUACACUGAAAAGUAGCUUGGAGAAGCAGCUCCAAAUAUGUCAUUGCUCGACAAAAGGCUUAUUUAGUAUGGGAAACGUGUGAAUAUCAACAUUUUUAUUAAUCUAGUUUUCUUGGGCCGAGCAGAUCUAAAGAAAAUUUGCACAAUGACCAUCAAACCAUACCCUGAUGGAUUAGAUGGCUCAAGGAUGUCUCCUUGUCCAAAGAUGUUGGAAUUUGCUCUUAAACAUUGGAACCCUGAUGAUAUAACCACAAUGCUCCUAAAUAUGUUCCUAUAAUACUAGUGUCUUGGUUAAGUGUGGUUGUUUUGUACUACAUCCUAAAUUUUUGCACUUGAGUGGUGCCCAGCCGGACCAAAUGGAGCGCCAUAGCAGCGAUUCCACAACUCCAGCGAGCACUGACUAUGCCGACUUCACGGUAAUACUGCCCAGAUGUCGAGAAUCACAGACAAUUUGUCCUGAGUAAAAUAGAUGGUUAGUCAUUGAACUUGAAUCGCUUACUCGUUUUAGUCACUGUACUCUGAAAUACGCAAAUUACGGUCAUCGAAUACGCGCGAGGGUUCCAAUCGAUGGUCACUGGCAGCGGUAUAGCACUGUAUUUGCUGACAUGGCGUACUGUGGAUCUCACAUGUCAGGUCUCCACUAUGUUUCACUUUGCAAAAAAACCCCAAAUAUAGUUUCUCCCCAACAAAAAUGUACUCCUUAAAUUCAGAAGAAAAAUACAUCUUGGUAAAGUAGAAUGCGUUGGUCAUACUAACCAGCGGGGCCCUGGUCAGGGGCACCCACCCACCUUCUUCCUCCUCUCUCUCCACGGAUGCACGCCGGCGCGCCGCCUGGCACCUCCUCUAUCCCUCCCUAGUUGCGGCGCCCGCCCCCUCUUCUCCACCCCAUCCAUGUGCGGUGCGGGCGCGUUGCCUCUGCCGUGUACAACGAUGCCGAUGCCGGCGAGAAUGGAGUCCGGUGCGAAGCCCGUUCUCGGCCUCGACGAUAACAGAGGAUCUCGAGCUCAUCUGCUCGCCCGACGAAAGAGGAGGAACCCUCUCCCCUACGGUGCAGCCCUCCCCACCCCUGCAUCUUCCUAGCCGGCGGCGCCCCACCCCUGCCUUGCGAUGGGCCGGACGCCACCCAGCAUGGAUGAAGCACCGGAGACCUCCGUCGGCUGCAGCUCCCUGCUGCUGCGCCGGAGCUUUGAGUGGACGUUUCCCUACGGCAAAGACCCAGGCAAAAAAUCCCAAUCGCUCUCCCGCCGGGCUCUCUAGGAGGACUCCCCACCGUCGAUGAAUACGACGACGACAUUGCGCAUCCGAGGCAUCUGAGCGCAGCACGGUCGCUGCCGACGUAGCGGCUCACGUCCGCUUCCUCGAUCAGGGAUGAAGUGUUGGAGGAUGGUGCCGACGCAUCAAUAAUGUUGGAGCUCGCCGCGGCAUCCGACGCUGCCCAAAUCCAUGACCACACCUUCUCAGAUCGUGAGAGGGUGGAGGAGGAGGGCGUCGAGCAGAAGCUGUUGCACCGCGGCGGUGGUGGGUCAGGGCCAGACGGAGGGAGGGGAGGCUGUGUGUGACCGCGCAUGCAAACGAGGCGGUUCCGAGCGCAGCAGCAGGGCACAUGGCGGACAGUGCUUCGGUGACUUUGCCACCCCCCAAAGUCAGUGACUUUGAGUCACUUACAAGUGGGGUCAAAUGGGAUCCACAUAAUGAACGGUCCACAUGUCAGUCACCCAAAAUCACGACAAAAUCACCCUGGCAAAGUCACCGAAGCUCAAUCCGACGAACGGUAGUGCUCAGCCACACAAGACAUUUUUUAGAUCUUAUUUGCUUCCUCGACUUUACAUUCCAGCCCCUUUCUUUCUAUUAGAAACUAGUCCCUGCAUAUGGUACGAGGCUCUACCACGACGAGUGACCGUAGAUGAACCCUCGCGCGUAUUCGGUGACCGUAAAUUGCGUAUUUUGGAGUACAGUGACUAAAGAGAGCGAGCGAUUCAAGUUUAAUGACUAACCGUGUAUUUUACUCAUUUGUCCUCCAUGUUAGGCACCAAGGCGGUGGCAUCGACAUUCUCAAAUAGAUGAAUUAACUCAAUGAUCCAUUGAACAUUGAGUACAGUACUGGUGUUAAUCUGAAGAUGUUGUUCAUCUAACACUUGGCAAACUGUGGCAUAGUGAGUGGUCAUUUUUUUAUUAAUCUGUUUAAUGAUUCUUCAUUUGUUCUUCCAUUUUGUAUACAACGACCCUAAAUUUCCCAGCUAAUUAUAUACUAUGGAAAUUUGGUACAGUAUAAAGUCUUUUAGAAGAUUCCCAGAUAUAUUCGCUCACAGAUAUUUAAUAUGCAACUAUAAGUUAAGAAGUAUCCAGAAUAUGUUUCCUGCCUGGAAGAGCUAACACUUAGCAAAAUGUGUGAUAGUGAUUGGUCAUUUUUGAUAUAUAUAUUCCCUAUGUGUGUCCACUCUAACCAGUGUUUAGUAGUAUCCGGUAUAUGUUUCUGUGAUAUAUUCCGAGGCUCUAGAGGCGUGCCGUGGAAGCACAUCAAUCGUAUUUUGACGUCCUCCGGCGACUGAAGAUGAUCACCGGUGAUCCAGGAGACUAUCAGACUGUAACUGUACUCUCCGUCGUCAUUGAUGAUGCGUGAAGCCUUGAAGGACGUCAAGUUUGGCGGCCUCAACUUCCCGCAGGGAACAAUCAUCCAGAUAGCCAGUUCCGGCCAGACCGGUUCGUGAACGGUGCCGCUGGCACCUGGAAGCCGGCGCACAUGUAUAUGCCGUUUGGGAACGGGCCAAGGAUGUGUCCAGGGCAGCACCUGGCGUUGGUGGAGCUCAAGGUGGUGCUGGUGCGCCUGCUGUCUGUGAGCAAGUACACCUUCUCACUGUCACCGGCACGCGCCGCUGUUCAGGCUCACCAUCGAGCCUGGGUUCGGCAUGCCGGAUGCCGCUCGUGGUCACAAGUCUUCCAUGAUCUCUGCCUGUCAUCUGCAGCAAGAAUGUACUGCGCCUGAUGUGUUCGUAAUCAGCAAGGCGGUGGCUGCGUGCAUCUUAGAUACAGAGGCUGUAAGUGAACUCUUACCUUUGUAUCACUCUGAAAUCAUCCAGACAGCUUUGGUCAAACAAAUUACUUCCUCCAUCCGAAAAUAUAGACAAAUCUGAGUCACUUAUUUCCGGACGGAAGGAGUACAAUUAUUGAUGUUGGCGAAAUUGGUAUGUUCUACGCAUGUAAUAUAAUGUUCUGUGUGAUCAGAUGGUAUCUCCCCAAA